AUGGCCUCUGUAGUACUUGUUCAAGUAAAGGUCCAACAAGUCCUUGUCCACGAACGCCGCCACGGCCAUGGAUAUUUGGCUGUGGCGCGGCUGGUACAGCGGCAUCGGCAUGGAUCCAUUCACCGUCGCCGGCACCGAGUUGUUCUUCAAGCGCUUACUGGGAAGCUGCAGGCUCACGAUGACGUCCCUAUAGUCCACCCCUGCGCGGCGGCUGGGGUUGUCGACGGCGAGGGUGAAGUUGAAGGACAGCCCGUCGUUGCCGUCCAUGGUGCUGUCUGUCCCGUUUGCCGCGGUGAUGGAGAAGUGGAUGUGCGCGGGGCUGAGGAUGAUGCAGGUGACUAUGAUAACAGUGCUGGCGGCGAGGAUUAG
Molecule: ribosomal RNA, 369 nt
Filed under: Triticum aestivum (bread wheat)
Lineage: Eukaryota; Viridiplantae; Streptophyta; Magnoliopsida; Poales; Poaceae
Description: partial small subunit ribosomal RNA
Source: RNAcentral